GGGAAGUCAAACGGGCUUGUUCCUCCUCUUGACAUUGCUAAUGAUCUUCAGAAGUGGAUGCCGUUUGAUACUGGUUUGGGGCCUCCUCAUCGCAGAUCAAACAGAUCGCACUUUCCACUGGACGCGGACAGAGGGUCUCAUCUCACUCCUAUUAGGCAUUUAGCUUUCUUCAAGAGAUGGAAAGAAUGGAAACAUCCUUUAUAGAAAUAAAAAUAAAAGCAAGGAUUCUCCCUUAAACACUUGGAUCUGCAACUUGAAGCUAUAUGGAAAAAUCUCAGCUGUCACGUGGCCCUGAUUAAAUUACAGUGCAACCAUAAUGCUUCUUCCUUCCUGCACCCACAGCCAGCAUGUCAUAAACGUGCCUGAGGUAUGGAGAAAGUCUGUCAGCUCGAAUGUCUGUUGUGGCACGACAAGUGAAAGCACCGGACUUUCUGUGUUGAAGACAGAGCAGCUUAGAGAUGGAGUUUCUCUGGGAAAAGUCCCUAGAGGUGCCAAUCACAGCAUGAGAAAAAGCCUGGCCUGGAAGAAGCUGCAAUCUCCACUCUGCCCAGUGGCUGGGGAUUACCAGCGCUUCCCGUGCCGCUGCCUGCUCCUGGAGCCUGGUGGAUGGGGGAGGACGGGUGCCUGCUUGUCUGCCACAGGUCUCAAAGGGUCUCUGAACCCUUCUGCGUGA
RNAcentral lists this long non-coding RNA (673 nucleotides) under Anser cygnoides (Swan goose). RNAcentral describes it as "lncRNA (ENSACDG00005005279.1)". Lineage: Eukaryota; Metazoa; Chordata; Aves; Anseriformes; Anatidae. The record is from RNAcentral.